AAGAGAGCAUUUCUAUCUUAAUUUUGGGUUAAGCUAUUAUAUAGAGAUUUAAAUAUCUAAAAUUAGAAAGGAGGAUGAUCAAAAUGGAUAAGGAACCCAUAAUCUGUUCUUGUAGAUCUAUGAUUUUUUUUAGAAAUUUCACAAAAAAAUAAAUUAGAAAAUAUGAAAGAAAAAUUUCAAGGGGCAUUUUGAUGAAUCUUCAAAAAUAUCUUAGGUCAGAACAUUUUGAUGUCACUUGUAAUAACUCUCUUUUUUCUGUCAAAAAUACCUCCUUCCCAAAUCAAACUUGCAUGCAUUGUUGAGGGAAGUUUUAAUUUCUAGAGAAUUUUAAAAAAAAAAACAAAUUUGGAACUUCCAUCCAAAACACUGUUCAUUUUUUUGUUCAUUCUUCUUUUUCUCUUUAUUUUUCUUUUUGUUCAUUUUUUUCCUCUCUAUCACUGUUCACCUUUCCCGCCAUUCACUGUCUAAACCACCAUCAACAAGCUCACACAACCCCCUUUCUUAUCCCUUCUCUCAACUCUAAAUCCCUCAUCACCAUUGUCAUAUUUGACACAACCCUUAGCCACUCAAAACCCCAAUCACUGUCUAAUACUACCAUCUCCCACACAACAUCUCCUUCAUCAUCCAACACUUUCACCGUCACCAUUGCUGCUUCCACCUCCACCUCAUUAGCCAUUGAACCUAAAAGCACCCACUACUUUAAUCACCAUACUAAAAGACCAGAACAAACCAUAAACAAUGAAUGAUACAAAAAAAAACAACAACACAAAAGAUCCAACCAAAAUAUAAAAAACACAAGUAAAAAAAAAAAAAGAGUUGCUCCUUACUGUUUUGAAGAAGCUAAUCCAAACCUGCAAACAAAGAAGAGAAAAACCAAUAUUCAUAAAAGGAGGAAAAGAGAUUGAAAAAAAAAUAAAGAGAAGGGGACUUAUCUCUAUUUGAAUUUGGGUUUUAAGCUCUGGAAUUCCAUUAGACAAUUUGAACGGUGACAGGAUCUAUUCGGUCAAGGAGAACCAUAUAUUAAGUACCCUAGGCGAUCUAACGACGAAGGUAGUAGAUCGGGACAAGAUAAGUUUGAAUCUGACUCAAUAUUAUCGUGGUUUUCUUGCGGGUUUCAAGAAUAUUUGAAUUUUUAAAUCGAAAGAGAAAGGAAAGAUGGACUACUUGGUGAUUUUUCUGACUAAUGGUGCUACCAGAAUGUGGCAGUUAAGAAAGAGUAGCGUAAUGAAUCA
RNAcentral lists this long non-coding RNA (1232 nucleotides) under Gossypium barbadense (sea-island cotton). RNAcentral's name for it is "long non-coding RNA (GBAR_LNC020005)". Lineage: Eukaryota; Viridiplantae; Streptophyta; Magnoliopsida; Malvales; Malvaceae. The record is from RNAcentral.